ACUUUUUAAUGCAGAAAAACCCAAGAAAAGAUCAUAAACAGAGGGUGGAGCUCAGCUGAGUUACCGCACUCGAAACUGAAAAAUGCUUUGAUAAGCCAAAUCCUCUUCCCAUUCACUCCGUUUUCCCCACCCCUUAACCGCAUAACAUGUUUCCAAUGUAGGGUGAUCGAAAAAGCCACGAGCUGUGAAAGAGGAGCGGCUGAGCCCGACUGAGCCGCUGCACCAA
This 226-nucleotide long non-coding RNA is filed under the name Carica papaya (papaya). Its description in RNAcentral is "long non-coding RNA (CPAP_LNC012233)". Lineage: Eukaryota; Viridiplantae; Streptophyta; Magnoliopsida; Brassicales; Caricaceae. The record is from RNAcentral.